Mycena sp. CBHHK59/15 is the source of this 102-nucleotide non-coding RNA. The record is from the annotation of a GenBank genome assembly. NCBI's taxonomy places the organism in Eukaryota, Fungi, Basidiomycota, Agaricomycetes, Agaricales, Mycenaceae.
GGCAAGAUGGCCGAGCGGUUAAGGCGUGUGACUCAAGCGAAAGCUUACCUUUCUGGGUUCUCAUCACGUAAUGUGGCGUGGGUUCGAGUCCCACUCUUGUCA